Molecule: ribosomal RNA, 2900 nt
Filed under: Escherichia coli DEC3A
Lineage: Bacteria; Pseudomonadati; Pseudomonadota; Gammaproteobacteria; Enterobacterales; Enterobacteriaceae
Description: bacterial LSU rRNA
Rfam family: Bacterial large subunit ribosomal RNA
Source: RNAcentral
UAAGCGACUAAGCGUACACGGUGGAUGCCCUGGCAGUCAGAGGCGAUGAAGGACGUGCUAAAUCUGCGAUAAGCGUCGGUAAGGUGAUAUGAACCGUUAUAACCGGCGAUUUCCGAAUGGGGAAACCCAGUGUGAUUCGUCACACUAUCAUUAACUGAAUCCAUAGGUUAAUGAGGCGAACCGGGGGAACUGAAACAUCUAAGUACCCCGAGGAAAAGAAAUCAACCGAGAUUCCCCCAGUAGCGGCGAGCGAACGGGGAGGAGCCCAGAGCCUGAAUCAGUGUGUGUGUUAGUGGAAGCGUCUGGAAAGGCGCGCGAUACAGGGUGACAGCCCCGUACACAAAAAUGCACAUACUGUGAGCUCGAUGAGUAGGGCGGGACACGUGGUAUCCUGUCUGAAUAUGGGGGGACCAUCCUCCAAGGCUAAAUACUCCUGACUGACCGAUAGUGAACCAGUACCGUGAGGGAAAGGCGAAAAGAACCCCGGCGAGGGGAGUGAAAAAGAACCUGAAACCGUGUACGUACAAGCAGUGGGAGCCUCUUUUAUGGGGUGACUGCGUACCUUUUGUAUAAUGGGUCAGCGACUUAUAUUCUGUAGCAAGGUUAACCGAAUAGGGGAGCCGAAGGGAAACCGAGUCUUAACCGGGCGUUAAGUUGCAGGGUAUAGACCCGAAACCCGGUGAUCUAGCCAUGGGCAGGUUGAAGGUUGGGUAACACUAACUGGAGGACCGAACCGACUAAUGUUGAAAAAUUAGCGGAUGACUUGUGGCUGGGGGUGAAAGGCCAAUCAAACCGGGAGAUAGCUGGUUCUCCCCGAAAGCUAUUUAGGUAGCGCCUCGUGAAUUCAUCUCCGGGGGUAGAGCACUGUUUCGGCAAGGGGGUCAUCCCGACUUACCAACCCGAUGCAAACUGCGAAUACCGGAGAAUGUUAUCACGGGAGACACACGGCGGGUGCUAACGUCCGUCGUGAAGAGGGAAACAACCCAGACCGCCAGCUAAGGUCCCAAAGUCAUGGUUAAGUGGGAAACGAUGUGGGAAGGCCCAGACAGCCAGGAUGUUGGCUUAGAAGCAGCCAUCAUUUAAAGAAAGCGUAAUAGCUCACUGGUCGAGUCGGCCUGCGCGGAAGAUGUAACGGGGCUAAACCAUGCACCGAAGCUGCGGCAGCGACACUGUGUGUUGUUGGGUAGGGGAGCGUUCUGUAAGCCUGUGAAGGUGUACUGUGAGGUAUGCUGGAGGUAUCAGAAGUGCGAAUGCUGACAUAAGUAACGAUAAAGCGGGUGAAAAGCCCGCUCGCCGGAAGACCAAGGGUUCCUGUCCAACGUUAAUCGGGGCAGGGUGAGUCGACCCCUAAGGCGAGGCCGAAAGGCGUAGUCGAUGGGAAACAGGUUAAUAUUCCUGUACUUGGUGUUACUGCGAAGGGGGGACGGAGAAGGCUAUGUUGGCCGGGCGACGGUUGUCCCGGUUUAAGCGUGUAGGCUGGUUUUCCAGGCAAAUCCGGAAAAUCAAGGCUGAGGCGUGAUGACGAGGCACUACGGUGCUGAAGCAACAAAUGCCCUGCUUCCAGGAAAAGCCUCUAAGCAUCAGGUAACAUCAAAUCGUACCCCAAACCGACACAGGUGGUCAGGUAGAGAAUACCAAGGCGCUUGAGAGAACUCGGGUGAAGGAACUAGGCAAAAUGGUGCCGUAACUUCGGGAGAAGGCACGCUGAUAUGUAGGUGAAGUCCCUCGCGGAUGGAGCUGAAAUCAGUCGAAGAUACCAGCUGGCUGCAACUGUUUAUUAAAAACACAGCACUGUGCAAACACGAAAGUGGACGUAUACGGUGUGACGCCUGCCCGGUGCCGGAAGGUUAAUUGAUGGGGUCAGCGCAAGCGAAGCUCUUGAUCGAAGCCCCGGUAAACGGCGGCCGUAACUAUAACGGUCCUAAGGUAGCGAAAUUCCUUGUCGGGUAAGUUCCGACCUGCACGAAUGGCGUAAUGAUGGCCAGGCUGUCUCCACCCGAGACUCAGUGAAAUUGAACUCGCUGUGAAGAUGCAGUGUACCCGCGGCAAGACGGAAAGACCCCGUGAACCUUUACUAUAGCUUGACACUGAACAUUGAGCCUUGAUGUGUAGGAUAGGUGGGAGGCUUUGAAGUGUGGACGCCAGUCUGCAUGGAGCCGACCUUGAAAUACCACCCUUUAAUGUUUGAUGUUCUAACGUGGACCCGUGAUCCGGGUUGCGGACAGUGUCUGGUGGGUAGUUUGACUGGGGCGGUCUCCUCCUAAAGAGUAACGGAGGAGCACGAAGGUUGGCUAAUCCUGGUCGGACAUCAGGAGGUUAGUGCAAUGGCAUAAGCCAGCUUGACUGCGAGCGUGACGGCGCGAGCAGGUGCGAAAGCAGGUCAUAGUGAUCCGGUGGUUCUGAAUGGAAGGGCCAUCGCUCAACGGAUAAAAGGUACUCCGGGGAUAACAGGCUGAUACCGCCCAAGAGUUCAUAUCGACGGCGGUGUUUGGCACCUCGAUGUCGGCUCAUCACAUCCUGGGGCUGAAGUAGGUCCCAAGGGUAUGGCUGUUCGCCAUUUAAAGUGGUACGCGAGCUGGGUUUAGAACGUCGUGAGACAGUUCGGUCCCUAUCUGCCGUGGGCGCUGGAGAACUGAGGGGGGCUGCUCCUAGUACGAGAGGACCGGAGUGGACGCAUCACUGGUGUUCGGGUUGUCAUGCCAAUGGCACUGCCCGGUAGCUAAAUGCGGAAGAGAUAAGUGCUGAAAGCAUCUAAGCACGAAACUUGCCCCGAGAUGAGUUCUCCCUGACCCUUUAAGGGUCCUGAAGGAACGUUGAAGACGACGACGUUGAUAGGCCGGGUGUGUAAGCGCAGCGAUGCGUUGAGCUAACCGGUACUAAUGAACCGUGAGGCUUAACCU